GUCAAUUUAAAACCCGCAUUUGUUAUGAAAGCAAUCUUGAUUCCCAUGAGAGGCCCGCUAGAGCCCCUUCAUUGCAACCCACUCUCGCUCAUCUUUGAUCUUCUUCCGUUUCUGAAUUGAGAGGCGAUAAGGCGUUCCAUGAUGGAGUAAGAGAGCAGUCGUUGUGGAGAUGAAGAGGUUUGCGCGUAUUUGUCUUUCUUUCUUCCAUUCGAUGCCCAAUUUCUAUUCUUUUUCUUUUCGAUAAAAUUUUUUUUUAUUGGAUAUCGUUGUUUUACCCGUCUCUUCUAGAGUUUUAUUGUCUCCAUCGGAUGCCAUUCAAAUUUCUAAAUUAUCCAAGAAACCCGCUAUUCGAGUUCUUGAUCGGGACAGCCACUUUUGGUUUCUUUUGAUUUCGAUAAUAACUUCGUGAUUAGUUUUGAUGCGGUGAAAAUAGAGAGGCAAUGCCUUGCCGGAUUGAUUUUCCCGUGUUUCCAUCUGAUAGUGGGACUGAAGUUUCUUGAUUGGUUGCGAGAUUCUUGCGAUCGACGAUGCGGUCGGCAAUGUCGGAGGAUCCGGAGCUCGGCGAUUUCUUGGAUUACAUGGAGAAGCUCAAGAAUUAUGAGCGAUUGGGUGUGCUUAAAGGGACUGGAACGGAUACUGAUGAUGAUUUGGAUCUUGGGAGGAUGAAGCAGCUGCUGCAACGACUUGGCAACCCCCACGCCCAAUUUAAGGGCCAAAGCCAAGAAGAGUAGGAACAAGAGGAGAUGUUUCAAAGGAGGGCUUGUUGGCUCUGGAGAUUGAGGGUGGCAGCCGCCCUCCCCCCUUGCUUUCUCUCUCCACCUGCCCAUAUUGACCCGAUCGUGUAGGAAUUCAAUUUGAAGCCAGUCCACUAAUGAACAGGUCGAAUGCCAGAGAUUCGGUUGUUGACAGAGGUCAGCAUUGCAGGAGGAAAAUCUCAUGUCGCUUCAGCUUCGACAUUAAAAGAUGUCUGGAUCAGAACUACAUUAGAUUUAGGAAUGGAUUUUUUUUGGAUAUUGGGGAUGAUUGAUGAUAGGAAGACUCUUGAGGGUCAUCCCAGUGAUUCACGAGGAUCAUCAGAUCACAACCCAGCAAUGUUGGUUAUGUGUCAUAUUUCAUCUGUAAGUGAUUCAAUUAAGGUUGCUGCUCGGUUGCUCAAGUCCAGGGUAGGUGAAAAGCGCAGUGUAAUUGUUGCUACUGGCUUCCUGCAUAUAGUUUCGGCUGCAUCAGCAGGUAUGCACCACUGAUCAGUUUCUGAGACAUGCAUAAUGCUCUAGUCUUGAUUAUUGGAAUAGUAGACAUGGGGUGUUAUCGACCUCUGUGCUUGUUUGAUUGAAACUUGGUUAUGCCAACUCCACAUGAUUGCAUGAAGAAGAUCAUUCUGAGUGUAGUAUGAUAGUGAUUCACGCAUUAUGGACAAGUCAAGACUCUGAACCUGCCCAAGGAAAUUAUGGAGUCCAAAUUCUUUGGAAUGGACAAAAAAAUACUGAAUCUGGAACCCUCCAAGCUGCGAAAGGUUUUGCCUGAUUCACGAUCCACUCAAGGUAUAUGCAUGGCUUGUUGGAGCACACCAUUUCUUGUACUCGAGUACAAGCUUCCAAGGAAGGAAAGAUGUUUAUUCCCGAAAGUCUCUGAGAUGGCGGUAAAUCACAGGGGACAUGGAUGGAUCAAACAAUGGUGUUGGUAAUUUGGAACAUAGCAUCGGAGGGGAGAGGAGGGAAGACAUCAUUAUUACCAUAGUUAUGGAUUCCAAGGGUGGUGAUGUCACCAUGGGUAGGAAGGCCAAGGACUUAGUAUCAUUGCAAGGGGCAUGGCUCCAAGAAGGCACGAACUGAUACUGUCACGUUCUUUGACUUUUUUGGCUAUAUUUGUCCUAUUUGGUUAUAUAAGUGUUGGUCUUGCUCACCACCACCAUCUAAUAAUUAUCUGUUCUCUCUAAACUCAUACUUCGUCCUUGCCAGUCUCCAGCCAAUGCUUGCUCGGAAUAAAAAAAUGUCAUUACAAAUAGCUAAGAGUCAUAGCCUACCCCUACCAAUGACUGUGAACAAAGGUCCUUUAAUAUGUGUUAUGGUAGAAAUAAUUCAUCCAUCAAUUACGACUCUAUUAUUAACCAGAUGAAACAUGCUAAACUAUAAAAAAAUAUCAUGCAUUUGUUUAUCAACGGUGGACAUUAUUCGCCUCUGAAUUGCAUAACAGAACGCAACUUUAAUUUGUGAUUAAAUAAACUAAUUUAUAUAAUAAAGUUCAAGGGUACAGUUGAUAUUUCCAUGAGGACAAUCAAAGCUUGAAUUAUUUGCUGCAUACGUACCUGCUUACACACAUGCGUAUAUACAUGUGCGUAUAUAUACAUAAUCUCACACGCGCGCACGCGCAUAUAUAUAUGUGUGUGUGUGUGUGUGGAUGGAUGGAUGAAUGGAUGCACGGUGCAUGCAUCCUACAUGUAUAUAAUGGAGGCUUAGUUCUUUUUCAUCAUGUAGACUCCCGUAUUAAUGAUGUUAAUAUUAAUAUGCUAGCCAUUAUUAAAGUUCAUUACUUAAUAUGCAAUGAAUAUUAAUGAUGAUGAUAUUAGUGUACUUAUCUAUCACUAAAAAUUAUUACUUACUAUGCGACAUUGAAGCCUUUUAUUUAUUAUAAUAUACUAUAUUAUAUUAUUAUAUUUUCAAGAAUAGAUAAAAAAAUUAAAAAAAUUGUACUCAUUAUAUGACGCCAGAAUUAAAGACACCAGAAUUAAUGACGAGAGUAUUUACAUAAAAGCUUGCUUAUGUAGAGUUCUUCAUUUGCCAUAUGGACACUGAUAUCAAUGAUGACGACAAAGUUUGUCGUACCGGUUGGUAUCAAUGCAUAUUGACGCUAUCGGUAUACGAUAUAGAAGGGAUACCGAACCAGUAUGCGAUACAAGAGGUGUACCAAGUGUCGGUAUACUGAAUUAGCUCUACACUGGGUGUACCGGCAUAGUAAUAGAAUGGCAUCACUAUAGGAUUCGAUACCGAGGCAGCAUACUUUGGAUGUCAGUAUUAAUAAUGAGAAUUUAUACUUGGUGGCUUAAUUUCUGUAGAGGUCUCUAUUCGUUGUAUGGAUGUUAGCAUUAAUUUGUUGGUCAUUGUUAAAUUUUAUUUUUUAUUAUACAAUGGAUAUUAAUGAUGCAGAUAUUAAUAUCUCCAAUCAUUAUUGAAUUCCAUUAUUUAAUAUACAGCAGAAAUUUGACUAUUUAGACGUCAUAUUUGUUAUAUUUGUUGCACUGUCGUAUGGCAUAUUGAAAAUAGUUAGUAAAAAGAGGAAAAAUCACAUUACAUGGUUUUGGAUCAAUGGCAUCCAUAUUAAUGAUGAGAGUUUCUAAACUAGGCUAAGCUUAUGUAGAGCUCUCAAUUGCUAUGUGAAAGCUGCUAUCAAUGAUGCUAGUACUAAUGAUAGAAAUUUGUACUUGGUCGUCAUUAAAAGUUAUUGCUUAUGUAUAACAGACCUUGUGGUUAAUGGGACAGCAUACAACCUUGUGGUCGCCAUUUCUUAGUAAUAAAAUACAAGCUGAUCUCUCUUCGUCCUUUAA
This is an RNA transcript of Phoenix dactylifera (date palm), 3541 nucleotides long. RefSeq lists it as uncharacterized. NCBI's taxonomy places the organism in Eukaryota, Viridiplantae, Streptophyta, Magnoliopsida, Arecales, Arecaceae. The record is from RefSeq and is a predicted model, not a curated record.